Molecule: RNA transcript, 5096 nt
Organism: Vespa velutina
Lineage: Eukaryota; Metazoa; Arthropoda; Insecta; Hymenoptera; Vespidae
Exons: 2
Source: RefSeq, a predicted model, not a curated record
GCGCGUAAAUUUAAAAUAAAGCAAUACAAAACUACAGCCUUCUACCCACAGUCCAACGGAUCACUAGAAAGGUCACAUCAUGUCUUAAUCGAGUACCUGAAGCAAUUCACGGAGAAGGAAAAGGAUUGGGACGAAUGGGUAGAUACGGCUAUCUUUUCGUAUAAUACAAGUGUACAUGAGGGAACUCGAUACACGCUCUAUGAGCUGGUCUUCGGAAAACUAGCUAGAGUUACAGCCUCAGAUCCACCUUUGGACGAUGAAAUGGACAGGACAUACUUACAAUACUACGAGAAUCUAAUAAAUAAAAUAAAUAGAACACAAGAGGUAGCACGACAAAAUUUGAUGAGAUCCAAGGAAAUAUCAAAAAGAUAUUAUGACAAGAAAGCAAGACCGUUAACUUUAAGGGAAGGGGAUAAGGUGUUUUUAUUAAAGGAACCUACUAACAAAUUCGGCAACCAAUAUACAGAACCUCAUCAGAUUUUAGAAAUACUUCCUCGUAAUAAUGUCAAAUUAUCAAUAGGAAACCCUACUAGGGUAGUGAAUGUUAAUAAGUUAAGAAUAUCUAAAAUGAGAUAGGUUAAGGUGAUUGUUUUGCAGAAACCAUGGGGCUUCUCAGCUUUUUAAUAACAACAUUAGGAAUCAUCAGCAAAUGUUUCUGCUUGUUGGGGUACGACUGUGGGGGAGAAUCAACAAACAUGACGACCAUUUCACUAUUGGACACGGGGGAAAGUAAUAUCCCGUCGCAUGCACCCAAUGCUACAGAAGUCUAUAUUCAGCUUCUACAGUUAGCAGAGUACGAUCAUACACACGUACACCAGUGCCGAGUGGAGAUCGACAGAACAAUCUAUUAUUGUGGAAUGUCUUCACACGUGUCAGCUGAUCAAAAUGGAAGGUGAAUAUACGUAAUGGAUUUAACAGCUGAAGCAUGCAAGGCUAUAUUCAACACCAGUAUCAUGGGGAUAACACCAACCCUAUAGGUAUCAGGUUUGCGGGCCAAUGCCACCGAGUAUCGGAGUGCCACGGUGGCAGGACCGAUUUUAAUGGACGGCAAGUGUUCUGGAACACAAUACGCCGAUCCGUACGGCACGUGGGACAAUGUAGUGGUGGAAGCAUCGAUAAAGAUUAACAUCAACGAAUAUUAUGCUACUGUGAAGAUAACACAAAACAAUGUAAUCCUGAGUAAAGAUGAAGUGUGCGUAUUCAUGGAUGGAAUGUGUAUCACCGAUGAGGAAGGAAAUGCGUUUUAGUCAACCAGACUGGAGUCGUCAUGUAACUUCGAUAAUUACAAGGUGUUAUAUGAAGGACUUACGACCAAAUUAAAAGCUAUGGGCAAUACGGAAGUAUACCCAGACAUAUACACUAUUACGACUCAAGACGUCACAUUCACUUUGGAAAAAAGAGAGGAGCAUCAUCUGUGUGGUUAUACGCUACUACUCAGCGAGCAUUCAAAGUUAUUUAUUCUAGAGACACAGAAGGGAAGGACCUUCGCGUCAAAAGCAAAAUUAUCGGUCGAAAACCUCGAUCUAUUCGCCUACGUCAACUCCAAAUUUGUCUACCUCGAAAAGCACAUAAGAACGCAAAUGACAGCUCUAUACAGUGACGUAAUUAGGCAAAAGUGCAAACUGGAUAAGCAGGUCCUUAAGAACGCUUUGGCAUUAGCGACCCUUCGCCCAGAUCGCUUAUACAAUCAUGAAGGCAGCGGGGUACAUGGCUGUAACUGUAGGAGAAGUUAUUCACAUAGUGAAGUGUACACCCGUCCCAGUCAGCAUAAGGCUAUCAGAAGAAUGUUACCACGAAUUACCUGUGACGCAUCAAAAUAACAGUCUUUACCUGACACCAAAAUCGAGAAUAUUGGUAAAGACAGGUACCAUAAAAGAAUGCAACGCUGUAUUACCAUCCAUGUACUACUUGGAGGGGAAUUGGUACAGGCUGACACCGAAGCUUGUGGAGGUACUCCCUCCCCAAAUACUCCAACCAUUGACCAAGCUGGCAUGGAAAUACACCAAUACAAAAAACUUAAUGACAAGCGGAAUUUAUAAGCACCAGGACUUAGGCAACUUACGAGAUCAUAUCAUGUUUCCUGCAGAGAGACCUGGACUUCCAAAUACAAUUGCCAGGGGAGCUACAGGACACCGAAUCCCACCCAACACCGUUUCGAUGUAUAAUUUAUUGGGAGAAGCAGACAUCAAUAAGAUUACGGACAGCGCAAUCUCGAAACUGUGGCAAGGCUUUUUAGCAUUUGGAUCAGCCAAUGCUGGAAUGAUCGGACUGUUUAUUUUAAUCAAAAGUGUAAAAUUAUGUGUCGACGCCAUUAUCAGAGGAUAUGUACUACAUACGGUCUAUGGAUGAAGCCUACAUCUGCUAGGAGCCAUCUAGAAUUCGUUGACACACCUACUCCUUCAUCUGGGACGAUCGGAGAAACAAGACGAAAAGAAAACAACAGAGAGUGACGGAAACAACGAUGCCAUCGAAGUAAGAGUGGACGACCCAACGGAUGAUGCUACUCCAACACCCGCAAUCAGGGGAAGCUCGAAAUACUCAAUUUUUGAAAGCAUCCUAGCAGCUUGUAAAAACAAGUCGUCAGAAAUAGAAAUUUCCUAACGACUCAAUUAAGUGAGGAGGUGUCACGUCACCAUGUGACGAUGUGUGUUACCCAAAGCAUCUCUAAAUAAUAGAAUAUAAAUAACAGAAAUGCUAAUCCUAAUCGGUAAUCUUAUUGUCGAUAGUUCUACUGUAGGUAAGCCUACCAUCGGUAAUUCCACUGUCGGUAAACUUCCGUAGGUAAAUCUAUAGUCGGUAACCCCAUAGUAAAUAAACACAUCUUAGAAAUAUUAACAAGAUUGAUGAUUCGCUAUCAAUACUAAAAAAAAGAAACACUAUUGUUAAAUAAGACUCAUUUAAUUUAUAAAUGAAAGAGCGUAUGUUAGAAUAAAAAGUUAAUAAACAAAUCGAAUAAAAAUAAAAGGAUAAGAUUUAAAAUACGAACUACUAUAAAAUCAACAAUAUAUAUACACCCUCACCCACAUAUAAACAAUUAAUAAUAAAUUGGUAAUGCUAAGAAACAUUAUAUUGCAUAGUUAUUAAGAAAUAAUUAUUAUUAAAAAUGACAAUAAUUAUUAAUAUAUUAUUAAAACCUUCAUGUAUUCACAAUGGUACGAAUUACUACAAGGAAUUUGUUAACAAAAAAUAUAACAUUAUAAUUUCUUAAUAUAAAAUAAUAAAGAUGAAGCGACAAGUCCAAGAAAUUCUUAUCACGAAUGGCAAGACUACAUGCAGUGAUAGCCGCAUUCUAAAGAUUAAAGGAUUCCUGGAAUUACACCCGGUGAUAACCGCAUUCCAGAGGCUAAGGAUUCCGAGAACUACAUCCGGUGGUAACCGCCCUGGGAACUAAGAAAUUCCAAGAACUGCUGCAUCCAGUGAUAACCGCAUUCCGGAGGCUAAGAAUUCUCGGAACCACAUCCGGUGAUAAGCGUCGACUGGUAGCAAUUCCCAGAAAGGCGACGAAGGAAUGCUUACACCGCAUCACGCCACGUCUUUCCCACGGGCAAUGCCUUCGCAUGUAGGCGGCAAGUAUGAGCGGCGCGCGUGCGCAGCAACACCAUCUGGUAGUCGACCAAGUGGGAGAGCAGCGACGCAGCAGCCAGUUUUCAUCCGUCGCUCAACUCGAUCAGCAGCAAAAACUUCAGCUCCGCGCUUAAGAAUUAUGAAGAUAAAUCAACUUAAUAUUGUACUUAGAAAAAGUAGAUAGGUCUACUGGGUACUCUUACUAUUAUUACCUUACGCUUUAUAGGCAGUUACGUUUUCAAGCGCGAAUGUUUUGUUAAGCAAGUAUACAAGGUUAUAACGAGAGAAUAUAUUUUUCUUUCCUACCGGUUAAAUCGGUGAAGUUGUAAGUCGUACACGAGUUAAAAUAAUAAAAUUACCGCGUAUCGCGAGUUUCGCGUAAUAAUACAUAUAUUUAGUGUAUCUUUAGUGUUCAUUAAAUAGUUAUUGUUAAAUUGUGGUGCUACUUCUCUUUCCUUCCAUCGACCAUCGAUCUUUCCAUCCGUACAUCUAAAGAAAUUGCAGAUCUUUGAAUUAGUACUAUCCAAGGGGGAGAAAUCGAGUCCAGGCUAUAGGAACAUCGAUUUUGCGUUAACGCACUAACAUCCUUCAUUGUCUUGGGAAGCUUGGCAGCAACGGUAGAUUUGCCCCGCCCUUCCUUUGUCUUUUGUUAACUACAAAUUCUUUUGUUAUCUACAAAUCGAGCCGUGAAGAUUUUGGGAGAGAAACGGGCAGUGAGAAAGAGAACGCCACGAGAGAAGUAGCACGAGAGUGUAGUGUGAAAUUUAACCAAUGUAAAUAAUAAACGUAAAUUGUCGUUUCUUUUGUUAGAGAAACUUAUUUUCGUUUAUUACCUCACCUUGCCUAUCCGAUUUAUUAUAUAUAUAUAUAUAUAACUAACACAAUUAUAUGACACAUUCGAGCCCAAUAUAAAGGGAGUCUCUAUUAUUACAAAAUAACACCAUUAUAGAGCACACAAUAGCAAUAGGUAAUAAAUAUGUAAGCGAUACAAUAAGGAGAGGAAAAGAAAACUAAAAAAAAGUUAUAGAAAGCGAUGCCGAACUCUGAGAGAAAUAAAAGGGACCUAGGAGCUCAAGGAAUUCGAAGAAGCGAAACUACCGCUCGACGUACGUGUUCUUCGGAUGGAAAUAUCUAAAAUUUCGUCCCUACAAAGCGACGCCAAACUCCGCAAAGGAGCAGAAAUCCAAAGAAGUAAGAAAACGAAACCACCAUCCGUCGUACGUAUUAUCCGCAUAGGUAUCUCCAAAAUUUCCAUUCCCACCACGGGACAACGAUAGCGGCAGAUUCAAAACCACUUCGCACGGCGGCGCUACUUCGAGCCGCCUACCGCAGAUCGACGGAGGACAUAAGCGGCUGCAUCGCUCGUCUCCGCGGUUAUUGAUCGAGUUUUCGACGACUAAGCAUUGGUCUUAACUUUGAUCAUACUACCGUACUGUUAGUCUUAUUUUAUACUUAGAAAUUUCAUCUAUACACUGUACUUAAAAAUUUUAAUAAAUUAGUUUGUUAAGUUUUAAAUUCAGUGUUCGUUCAAU